GAUGAACGCUGGCGGCGUGCCUAAUACAUGCAAGUCGAGCGAACAGACGAGAAGCUUGCUUCUCUGAUGUUAGCGGCGGACGGGUGAGUAACACGUGGAUAACCUACCUAUAAGACUGGGAUAACUUCGGGAAACCGGAGCUAAUACCGGAUAAUAUUUUGAACCGCAUGGUUCAAAAGUGAAAGACGGUCUUGCUGUCACUUAUAGAUGGAUCCGCGCUGCAUUAGCUAGUUGGUAAGGUAACGGCUUACCAAGGCAACGAUGCAUAGCCGACCUGAGGGGGUGACCGGCCACAACGGACCGGAGACAGGGCCCAGACCCCAACGGGGGGAAGCAGUGGGGAAUUUUCGCAAAUGGGCGAAACCCUGCCGGAGGACCGCCCGGGGGUUGAUAAAGGCCUUCGGACCGUAAACCCCUGUUUUUAGGGAAGAACAUAUGUGUAAGUAACAGUGCACAUCUUGACGGUACCUAACAGAAAAGCCACGGUUAACUCCUG
This 496-nucleotide ribosomal RNA is filed under the name uncultured bacterium. RNAcentral describes it as "partial 16S ribosomal RNA". It matches the Rfam family "Bacterial small subunit ribosomal RNA", at positions 28 to 506 of the family's 1533-position model. The record is from RNAcentral.